Molecule: long non-coding RNA, 1029 nt
Organism: Coregonus clupeaformis (lake whitefish)
Lineage: Eukaryota; Metazoa; Chordata; Actinopteri; Salmoniformes; Salmonidae
Exons: 2
Source: RefSeq, a predicted model, not a curated record
AUCCAGAGCUAGGCUGGUCUAGGUAACAGACUACGGGGCUAACAGGAUUAAAUCCAGAGCUAGGCUGGUCUAGGUAACAGAUUAGCUCACAUUCCACCAGUUAUCCCAAGCUCCUACUACCUAGCCACUGCAUGUAGCCGUAUGGUAACAGUUACAUUCACUGGGCAGAAGUUUCACCAUGUUGCCUUCACUAGUCCUCAUCAUCUACAGGAGUGCAUGGAGUGAGGAGCUGGGGGUCCACUUUGGAGCAUCUAUCUAGCGUAUUAUGUAAAACACUUCAAAAACAGUAUAAUAAAAUGUAUUUCUUUUAACAAUACUUUUCACUACAAUAACCAUUCCACAAUAGUAGUAAACACUAGUCAAGGGACGAAGGGGGGGAGAGGGAGUGCAGAGGGGUCUGGUUUAGUAAGCGAUAAAGUCUUCAUCGUCGUAGCAGGAGGCUGGUAGGUUGGGAGGCUCAGAGGUCACUGUGAAGGGAAGACACAGGGUCUGGUGUGGUGGUGCAACGUGCUCACAACAGAACACAUGACCUCUUUAUUGACAGAUCUGCAGCGUACAGCAGCAACCAAACACAACCCUGUCGCCACGGGUUACCUACCAUGCCAUACAGUCAGCCCGGUUAGAACCCUGUGAUGUCAUAAUAGAUCAUUUCAAUGAUGUCGUAAUAGUCUCUGAUGUCGUUAUGCUAUUAUCAUCAUUGCAAUGUUUGUAUUUUUAUUUUUAUUAUUUUUUUACUCUGUACCAAACAUGGUCGUGGAUUCAUCAUAGUAUAUACACAUUACACCUAGUUUACCUUUAAGUUAAAAAUUAAGAAUUAAAAAUUCUGGCAAAGUAGACAAAAUGCAUUGCAUUUCUAAGUAGUUUGUAGUAAAAAAAAAACGUUGUUGAGAGAACAAAGGAUCAACUAUGUCCAGUCCAUAUUAAUGUCAGAAUAAGAUGAGAACAACAUUAGGACAGGGAAAUAUCAGCAAUUAACCUUCGGUUCAGAACACUGUUGAGCACCAAAAUAUUGACUGAUUUACCCCCCCC